GAUCUUUUAUUAAAGGGAACUAGCCUCCUUGUCCUUCGGGAGAUGAUUUGUUUUCUUUGGUUUUCUCUUCGCGGUGCCUAGGAUGGAUAAACCCUAACCAGAUCUUCGCCGUGCCCGGGCCGGAUGGCUGGCUCCUCCUCCGGCAGCGGCACCGCCCCCCAGCCCCCUCACAAGCCUUCUUUUUCUUCUCUGGUCGGCCCGGUGCGGCCUCCACUGCUCGGCUUCAACAUUGACUAGCUUCCGUUGCUGUUCAUGGAGAAUGGUGUGGUUUCAGUUCGUAUCUCGGAGGCUCCUUUCCUCGGUGGUCUAGAACGCUGCAAGACAAACUUUGUGGGCAAGGUUGCAUUUUGUUAUGCAAGGCGCUUACCAUUUUUUUGGACUCAAAUGUCCCAGCAUAGCUUGCUAUCUUUGCUGCAGUCAUCCUUGUACUUGCUUUUACGAAGGUUCCUCACUAAUUCUUAUCUUUGGGAAGAGGCUCCACCAAUUCAUACCGCUUCCUUGCAUUUUGGUUACCUCCUCCAUGUAUCUAACCUUCUGUAUAGUUCUGUUAGUUGCAACAGUUAAAGACCAAUCCUGAUAGAAGUGCAAAAUGCAGUCAUUGAGGCUGGUCUUGAUAAAUCUAGAGAACCUUUAGUUACACUUAUCGUGCAAAAUGAAACCGUUAGAAAGGGGGACAUAGUAGUGUGUGGAGUAGCCUUUGGAAAGGUUGGUUGAUUACUCCUUGUUUUGAUGUAAUCAUAUGUAAUGUUGACAAAAGAUGAAAAUCCUCAUUUAUAUUAUUUGUCAUUUGGGUUCACAGGUCUUGUCAGCUUCUAGCUUAAGAGCUCUUGGGUCUGAUGGUGAAGUAGAAGGGAUUUGUUAAGUUGUGGCCUUAGACAAUGAUUAAGGUAAUUCUCAGCUUCUCUGCCUGAUAACCUUUUAGAAGCAUUUCUGCACCACUGUGUGUUUCCUGCAAGUAUUCUAUGAAACUACUAAUGUUGUUUUAGUGACUGCCCCAUACUUGAACUUUGAUUAGGAACAAGAAUCACAUACGAGGAUGAUUUAUUGC
Molecule: RNA transcript, 1048 nt
Organism: Rosa rugosa (rugosa rose)
Lineage: Eukaryota; Viridiplantae; Streptophyta; Magnoliopsida; Rosales; Rosaceae
Exons: 3
Source: RefSeq, a predicted model, not a curated record